Molecule: ribosomal RNA, 490 nt
Filed under: uncultured Alphaproteobacteria bacterium
Lineage: Bacteria; Pseudomonadati; Pseudomonadota; Alphaproteobacteria
Description: bacterial SSU rRNA
Rfam family: Bacterial small subunit ribosomal RNA
Source: RNAcentral
GGACGGGUGAGUAACACGUGGGAACGUGCCUUUAGGUUCGGAAUAACUCAGGGAAACUUGUGCUAAUACCGAAUGUGCCCUUCGGGGGAAAGAUUUAUCGCCUUUAGAGCGGCCCGCGUCUGAUUAGCUAGUUGGUGAGGUAAAGGCUCACCAAGGCGACGAUCAGUAGCUGGUCUGAGAGGAUGAUCAGCCACACUGGAACUGAGACACGGUCCAGACUCCUACGGGAGGCAGCAGUGGGGAAUAUUGGACAAUGGGCGAAAGCCUGAUCCAGCAAUGCCGCGUGAGUGAUGAAGGCCUUAGGGUUGUAAAGCUCUUUUACCCGGGAUGAUAAUGACCGUACCGGGAGAAUAAGCUCCGGCUAACACCGUGCCAGCAGCCGCGGUAAUACGGAGGGAGCUAGCGUUGUUCGGAAUUAUUGGGCGUAAAGAGCUCGUAGGCGGUUUGUCGCGUCGGCUGUGAAAUCUGGAGGCUUAACCUUCAGCGUGCA